AAGGAAGGACAGAAAUCAAUAAGUACUGCUAAUACUUAUCCCCAAGGGUUAAAAUCCUCGGCUUCUUUG
Molecule: transfer RNA, 69 nt
Filed under: Cyprinella caerulea (blue shiner)
Lineage: Eukaryota; Metazoa; Chordata; Actinopteri; Cypriniformes; Leuciscidae
Description: tRNA-Ser
Source: RNAcentral